Molecule: ribosomal RNA, 478 nt
Filed under: uncultured bacterium
Lineage: Bacteria
Description: partial 16S ribosomal RNA
Rfam family: Bacterial small subunit ribosomal RNA
Source: RNAcentral
GACGAACGCUGGCGGCGUGCUUAACACAUGCAAGUCGAACGGUAAGGCCCUUCGGGGUACACGAGUGGCGAACGGGUGAGUAACACGUGGGUGAUCUGCCCUGCACUUCGGGAUAAGCCUGGGAAACUGGGUCUAAUACCGGAUAGGACCACUGCCUGCAUGGGUGGUGGUGGAAAGCUUUUGCGGUGUGGGAUGGGCCCGCGGCCUAUCAGCUUGUUGGUGGGGUGAUGGCCUACCAAGGCGACGACGGGUAGCCGGCCUGAGAGGGUGACCGGCCACACUGGGACUGAGAUACGGCCCAGACUCCUACGGGAGGCAGCAGUGGGGGAUAUUGCACAAUGGGCGCAAGCCUGAUGCAGCGACGCCGCGUGAGGGAUGACGGCCUUCGGGUUGUAAACCUCUUUCAGCACCGACGAAGCGCAAGUGGCGGUAGGUGCAGAAGAAGGACCGGCCAACUACGUGCCAGCAGCCGCCGUAA